AGCCAUGUCAGUACGGCGAGUGAGCGGCACAGCUCAAUUUGAAAUCUGGCCCCCAGGGCCCGAGUUGUAAUUUGCAGAGGAUGCUUUUGGCGCGGUGCCUUCCGAGUUCCCUGGAACGGGACGCCAUAGAGGGUGAGAGCCCCGUCUGGUCGGACGCCUAGCCUGUGUAAAGCUCCUUCGACGAGUCGAGUAGUUUGGGAAUGCUGCUCUAAAUGGGAGGUAUAUGUCUUCUAAAGCUAAAUACCGGCCAGAGACCGAUAGCGCACAAGUAGAGUGAUCGAAAGAUGAAAAGCACUUUGAAAAGAGGGUUAAAUAGUACGUGAAAUUGUUGAAAGGGAAGCGCUUGUGACCAGACUUGGGCCCGGUGGAUCAUCCAGCGUUCUCGCUGGUGCACUCCGCCGGGUUCAGGCCAGCAUCAGUUCGCCGCGGGGGAAAAAGGCUUCGGGAACGUGGCUCCUACGGGAGUGUUAUAGCCCGUUGCAUAAUACCCUGGGGCGGACUGAGGUUCGCGCUCCGCAAGGAUGCUGGCGUAAUGGUCAUCAGCGACCCGUCUUGACCCACACGGACCCGA
Molecule: ribosomal RNA, 571 nt
Filed under: Purpureocillium lilacinum
Lineage: Eukaryota; Fungi; Ascomycota; Sordariomycetes; Hypocreales; Ophiocordycipitaceae
Description: partial large subunit ribosomal RNA
Rfam family: Eukaryotic large subunit ribosomal RNA
Source: RNAcentral